This 582-nucleotide ribosomal RNA is filed under the name Anaplasma marginale. RNAcentral describes it as "bacterial SSU rRNA". It matches the Rfam family "Bacterial small subunit ribosomal RNA", at positions 888 to 1467 of the family's 1533-position model. Lineage: Bacteria; Pseudomonadati; Pseudomonadota; Alphaproteobacteria; Rickettsiales; Anaplasmataceae. The record is from RNAcentral.
GCAAGACUAAAACUCAAAGGAAUUGACGGGGACCCGCACAAGCGGUGGAGCAUGUGGUUUAAUUCGAUGCAACGCGAAAAACCUUACCACUUCUUGACAUGGAGGCUAGAUCCUUCUUAACAGAAGGGCGCAGUUCGGCUGGGCCUCGCACAGGUGCUGCAUGGCUGUCGUCAGCUCGUGUCGUGAGAUGUUGGGUUAAGUCCCGCAACGAGCGCAACCCUCAUCCUUAGUUACCAGCGGGUAAUGCCGGGCACUUUAAGGAAACUGCCAGUGAUAAACUGGAGGAAGGUGGGGAUGAUGUCAAGUCAGCACGGCCCUUAUGGGGUGGGCUACACACGUGCUACAAUGGCGACUACAAUAGGUUGCAACGUCGCAAGGCUGAGCUAAUCCGUAAAAGUCGUCUCAGUUCGGAUUGUCCUCUGUAACUCGAGGGCAUGAAGUCGGAAUCGCUAGUAAUCGUGGAUCAGCAUGCCACGGUGAAUACGUUCUCGGGUCUUGUACACACUGCCCGUCACGCCAUGGGAAUUGGCUUAACUCGAAGCUGGUGCGCCAACCGUAAGGAGGCAGCCAUUUAAGGUUGGG